GUUCCAUCCUCAAUUUAAAAGCAUUCGGAAUUUGAACGUGAAAUUGCAAUAACAGUUCAAGAUAUAAAUGGACACAACCACUGCGAUAUUAUGUUAUUCUAGACGAGUCGAAAAGUUCAUCCUCUACAAUAAUUGCCAUACUCCAUUAAGUCCGAAAAUCCAUCGUCUCCAGCUGGAUCCGUUUCCGGUCUUCCUAAACUCACUCGGCAUAUACCUGAAAAACAUUAAACAAACAACAGCAGAAAAAAUAAUCUAAAAUAGGGGAUUGUCGGGGUAGGUGGG
RNAcentral lists this long non-coding RNA (282 nucleotides) under Mytilus galloprovincialis (Mediterranean mussel). The record is from RNAcentral. Lineage: Eukaryota; Metazoa; Mollusca; Bivalvia; Mytilida; Mytilidae.